This 1165-nucleotide unclassified non-coding RNA is filed under the name Hevea brasiliensis (rubber tree). The record is from RNAcentral. Lineage: Eukaryota; Viridiplantae; Streptophyta; Magnoliopsida; Malpighiales; Euphorbiaceae.
AUAUAUUCUGGAGCUAAGUAACCUAGAGUUCCUGCUAAUCCUGUUGUUUGGGGACCAAUUUCAUGGUCUGUGAGCCGAGCUAACCCAAAGUCACCCAGCUUGGCAUUAAAAUUAGAGUCUAGCAUUACAUUGCUGGAUUUGACAUCUCGGUGUACCACACACUGCUCCCACUCUUCAUGAAGAUAGAGCAAUGCUGAGGCCAAGCCAAGAGAUAUCUUGUAUCUCACAGGCCAUUUAAGAGGAGCCCUCUUGCCAAAGAGAUGAGCAUCUAGACUACCAUUUGGCAUGAAUUCAUAAACAAGUAGAAACUCACCUUUAUCAUGGCACCAACCCAAGAGUUGAACCAGAUUCCGGUGUCUCAAUUGGCCAAUGGUUUUCACCUCAGUAAUAUACUCCUUUUUACCUUGUCUAGAUCCUCUUGAAAUUUUCUUCACAGCAAUUGCCAAGUCCAUAUCAAUUAAGUAUCCCUUGUAAACAGCACCAAACCCUCCUUUCCCCAGCAUCCUUUCUUCCGAGAAGUUAUUGGUAGCUGAAACGAGAUCUUCAUAAGGAAACCUUCUAGGUCCAGCUCUUCUUUCAAGGUCUUCAUUGACUGACGUCAAGUUCCUUUCCUCCCCCUUUUUCCUUGCCAUCAUCUGUUUCUUCCUCCUCCUGAAAGAAAUCAAAAUUCCUACGAUCGUCCCACCUGCUAGAACACAUACUGAAACUCCAACACCAACUAUUAUUCUGGUCCUCUUUGAACUGUUUCCAUUUUUUCCCUGGAAAUUCAAACUAGAAUUGAAUUCCCAGGAUUGAAGUUGGUGUCGUUCUCCGUAUUGACCUGUAGCAGCUGAAAACCCAAUAGUAACCCAUUCCGGCAAAACCUCCUUCAGAUCAAUUAUGUAAAACAAACUAGUAUUCUCUUGAGGAUUGGAGGUUUUCUUAUAAGUCCAAAAUACGCUCAAAUUUUUAGUUUUUGCAUUGUAAGUAACCCAUACAUCAGCGGUGUCUCCACUGUGAAAGCUUGCGUUCCAGGCAGUAUGCACUGCUGAAGCAAGAGAGUUGUUGUUGAUCCCUACAUGCUCAACCAGAGGCUUGGGAUCCCAUUGUUCAUUUGGAAAUGAAUCGAACUCCACCAUAACGAUUUGGUUCUGAGACGAAUCCAUAGUUGAGGUGUUAAACAAGC